ACUCCUGCGGGAGGCAGCAGUGGGGAAUUUUGGACAAUGGGCGAAAGCCUGAUCCAGCAAUGCCGCGUGAGUGAAGAAGGCCUUCGGGUUGUAAAGCUCUUUUGUCAGGGAAGAAACGGUGAAAGCUAAUAUCUUUUGCUAAUGACGGUACCUGAAGAAUAAGCACCGGCUAACUACGUGCCAGCAGCCGCGGUAAUACGUAGGGUGCAAGCGUUAAUCGGAAUUACUGGGCGUAAAGCGUGCGCAGGCGGUUUUGUAAGUCUGAUGUGAAAUCCCCGGGCUCAACCUGGGAAUUGCAUUGGAGACUGCAAGGCUAGAAUCUGGCAGAGGGGGGUAGAAUUCCACGUGUGGCAGUGAAAUGCGUAGAUAUGUGGAGGAACACCGAUGGCGAAGGCAGCCCCCUGGGUCAAGAUUGACGCUCAUGCACGAAAGCGUGGGGAGCAAACAGGAUUAGAAACCCCGGUAGUCCCA
RNAcentral lists this ribosomal RNA (471 nucleotides) under uncultured organism. RNAcentral's name for it is "partial 16S ribosomal RNA". It matches the Rfam family "Bacterial small subunit ribosomal RNA", at positions 335 to 797 of the family's 1533-position model. The record is from RNAcentral.